Molecule: long non-coding RNA, 282 nt
Filed under: Ananas comosus (pineapple)
Lineage: Eukaryota; Viridiplantae; Streptophyta; Magnoliopsida; Poales; Bromeliaceae
Description: long non-coding RNA (ACOM_LNC043755)
Source: RNAcentral
CGAAAAUGGCCCAGGGAGGGCUGUUUCAGAAAAUGAAAAGUUGAGGGGGUUAAUUGCAAAAUGGCCUAUAUGAGGACUUGGGGGCCUCUUUCUCUCCCUCAGUUGCUCUCUCCCUCUCUCAUACUCUUUCCUCUCUCUCUCUAGAAAGGAAAAGAAAGAGAAGAAGAAAAAGAAGAAGAAGGAGGAGAAGAAAAAGAAGGAGAAAGAGAAGGAGAAGGCUAAGAAGAAGAAGAAGAUCGUCUUCUUCUCUCCUUCCUCAAGCUUGGAGCUUCGUAUAGAGGU